RNAcentral lists this long non-coding RNA (789 nucleotides) under Bos indicus x Bos taurus (hybrid cattle). Its description in RNAcentral is "lncRNA (ENSBIXG00000005307.1)". Lineage: Eukaryota; Metazoa; Chordata; Mammalia; Artiodactyla; Bovidae. The record is from RNAcentral.
CAUUGAGCGCCUGCUGAAUGCUGACUCUGUGGAGCCAAUCGGGACACACUGCUACAGCUUGUGGAGCACAGGCUUCUGGCGAACAGGAGGAUAAUUUCAGAGAGUGCCACGUGCUGAGCAGAGGGGGAGGGUGGAUCUGAGAGAUCUGGAGGAAGAAUAUUCGGAUUGCAGUGGCGGCAAGUGCAAAGGCCCUGAGGCGGGCACACGGUUAAAGUGCUGGAGGCAGAGCGAGGAGGGCAGCGUGACGAGCCGGCAAGAAAGGAGCAGAGGAGCCGGGCCAUUCCCGGCCCGCGAGGUCGUGGUCGUCGUCCGCGGGAGCUCGGAGUCGGCUCCGCUGGUACGGCAGGGAGCUUGCCUGGAGAAGGAGCCAUCCGUCCCCUCACUUCCUCCCCUCCGGCCCUUGCAUUCUGCAGACCCUACUUCACAGGCCCACCUCCUGGCCUUUGCACUAGCCCUUCCUGCCGCCUGCAGCGCGCUUUCUCUGGUUACUAGCCUGGUCAGUUCUGGUCUCCUCCUUCGGCCUUUGGCCGCAGUAUUCCUUCUUCUCCCCACCCCCACUUCUCUUCCUCCUCUCUCUCUCUUCCCUCUUCCCCUCCCCUUCUUCUCCUCCUCCGGCUCUCCCUCCCCUUUCCUCCUCGCCUUCCCUGGCCAUCUCCAGAUUACUGGUUCUGCACUAGCCUUGGUUGGAUUUGUCACUGUUGUGAUAAAAUAAUGCCUAAGUCAUCUGUUGGCAGCCCUCGCCUCCCUCUGAAUCUGCCCUCCCUGCAGACACAGCGGCAGGGGUUCAUG